UAUGAACUGCCACCGGGUAGUAAAAUGCGAUAAGCAUUCGUUCACACAUCGUUAGGUCUCAGAAGAUGUGUAUGCGAGUGCUUUAUUUUU
Molecule: non-coding RNA, 90 nt
Filed under: unclassified sequences
Source: RNAcentral